ACGACUGUAGCUUAGCGGUAAAGCACAAUACAAUCAACCAAUGAUCUUUGAAUGCCUGUUCGACUCAGGCCAGUCGUA
Molecule: non-coding RNA, 78 nt
Organism: Mucidula mucida
Lineage: Eukaryota; Fungi; Basidiomycota; Agaricomycetes; Agaricales; Physalacriaceae
Source: the annotation of a GenBank genome assembly